GCCGGCGUAGCUCAAUUGGCAGAGCAGCUGUUUUGUAAACAGCAGGUUACAGGUUCGAUUCCUGCCGCCGGCUCCA
RNAcentral lists this transfer RNA (76 nucleotides) under bacterium. Its description in RNAcentral is "tRNA-Thr". It matches the Rfam family "tRNA". From Rfam's summary of the family: Transfer RNA (tRNA) molecules are approximately 80 nucleotides in length. Their secondary structure includes four short double-helical elements and three loops (D, anti-codon, and T loops). Further hydrogen bonds mediate the characteristic L-shaped molecular structure. tRNAs have two regions of fundamental functional importance: the anti-codon, which is responsible for specific mRNA codon recognition, and the 3' end, to which the tRNAs corresponding amino acid is attached (by aminoacyl-tRNA synthetases). tRNAs cope with the degeneracy of the genetic code in two manners: having more than one tRNA (with a specific anti-codon) for a particular amino acid; and 'wobble' base-pairing, i.e. permitting non-standard base-pairing at the 3rd anti-codon position. RNAcentral also lists the same sequence under 1 other name. The record is from RNAcentral.